CCAAUAGCGUAUAUUAAAGUUGUUGCAGUUAAAAAGCUCGUAGUUGAAUUUCGGGAUCAAUAUAUCGGUCGUGCCUCCGGUAUGCACUGGUAUUAUUGAUUUCUACCUUCUGACGAACUAUGAUGUCAUUAAUUUGGUGUCAUGGGGAAUCAGGACUGUUACUUUGAAAAAAUUAGAGUGUUUAAAGCAGGCACACGCUUGAAUACAUUAGCAUGGAAUAAUGAAAUAGGACGUUUGACCCUAUUUUGUUGGUUUCUAGGAUCGACGUAAUGAUUAAUAGGGAUAGUUGGGGGCAUUAGUAUUCAAUUGUCAGAGGUGAAAUUCUUGGAUUUAUUGAAGACUAACUACUGCGAAAGCAUUUGCCAAGGAUGUUUUCAUUAAUCAAGAACGAAAGUUAGGGGAUCGAAGACGAUCAGAUACCGUCGUAGUCUUAACCAUAAACUAUGCCGACUAGGGAUCGGAUGAUGUUAAUUUUUUAAUGACUCAUUCGGCGCCUUACG
RNAcentral lists this ribosomal RNA (500 nucleotides) under uncultured Glomeromycotina. RNAcentral's name for it is "partial small subunit ribosomal RNA". It matches the Rfam family "Eukaryotic small subunit ribosomal RNA", at positions 591 to 1092 of the family's 1831-position model. Lineage: Eukaryota; Fungi; Glomeromycota. The record is from RNAcentral.